GAUGAACGCUGGCGGCGUGCCUAAUACAUGCAAGUCGAGCGAACAGACGAGGAGCUUGCUCCUCUGACGUUAGCGGAGGACGGGUGAGUAACACGUGGAUAACCUACCUAUAAGACUGGGAUAACUUCGGGAAACCGGAGCUAAUACCGGAUAAUAUAUUGAACCGCAUGGUUCAAUAGUGAAAGACGGUUUUGCUGUCACUUAUAGAUGGAUCCGCGCCGCAUUAGCUAGUUGGUAAGGUAACGGCUUACCAAGGCAACGAUGCGUAGCCGACCUGAGAGGGGGAUCGGCCACACGGGAAGUGAGACACGGUCCAGACGCCUACGGGAGGCAGCAGUAGGGAAUCUUCCGCAGUGGGCGAAAGCUUGACGGAGCAACGCCGCGUGAGUGAUGAAGGUCUUCGGAUCGUAAAACUCUGUUAUUAGGGAAGAACAAAUGUGUAAGUAACUAUGCACGUCUUGACGGUACCUAAUCAGAAAGCCACGGCUAACUACGUG
This 497-nucleotide ribosomal RNA is filed under the name uncultured bacterium. RNAcentral describes it as "partial 16S ribosomal RNA". It matches the Rfam family "Bacterial small subunit ribosomal RNA", at positions 28 to 507 of the family's 1533-position model. The record is from RNAcentral.